This 111-nucleotide ribosomal RNA is filed under the name uncultured bacterium. RNAcentral describes it as "partial 16S ribosomal RNA". It matches the Rfam family "Bacterial small subunit ribosomal RNA", at positions 1373 to 1482 of the family's 1533-position model. The record is from RNAcentral.
CCCGGGCCUUGUACACACCGCCCGUCACACCAUGGGAGCUGACUCAACCAGAAAACGAAUAGGCUAACCGUAAGGAGGCCUCCGUUGAAGGUGGGGUUGGUGACUGGGGUG